AAGUUGUUGCAGUUAAAAAGCUCGUAGUUGGAUCUUGGGUCGGGGGGAGCGGUCCGCCCCUUGUGGGUGUGCACUGGUCCACUCGGCCUUCUUGCCGGGGACGCGCUCCUGGUUUUAAUUAAUCGGGACGCGGAGUCGGCGAUGUUACUUUGAAAAAAUUAGAGUGCUCAAAGCAAGCCUAUGCUCUGAAUACAUUAGCAUGGAAUAACGUGAUAGGACUCUGGUCCUGUUCGUGUUGGUCUUCGGGACCGGAGUAAUGAUUAAUAGGGACGGUUGGGGGCAUUCGUAUUUCAUUGUCAGAGGUGAAAUUCUUGGAUUUAUGAAAGACGAACUUCUGCGAAAGCAUUUGCCAAGGAUGUUUUCAUUAAUCAAGAACGAAAGUUGGGGGCUCGAAGACGAUCAGAUACCGUCCUAGUCUCAACCAUAAACGAUGCCGACUAGGGAUUGGCGGAUGUUACUUUGAUGACUCCGCCAGCACCUUAUGAGAAAUCAAAGUUUUUGGGUUCCG
RNAcentral lists this non-coding RNA (508 nucleotides) under Physcomitrium patens. RNAcentral's name for it is "rRNA SSU_rRNA_eukarya". It matches the Rfam family "Eukaryotic small subunit ribosomal RNA", at positions 607 to 1116 of the family's 1831-position model. The record is from RNAcentral. Lineage: Eukaryota; Viridiplantae; Streptophyta; Bryopsida; Funariales; Funariaceae.